Molecule: long non-coding RNA, 806 nt
Organism: Bombus huntii
Lineage: Eukaryota; Metazoa; Arthropoda; Insecta; Hymenoptera; Apidae
Exons: 3
Source: RefSeq, a predicted model, not a curated record
AUAUUCUUUUCAUAAUACAAAUACAAACCACCAUUCCAUUAAAAAGUAGACGAAGGCCAAUUCACAAUAAUUAUUCCACGAUUAUUAAAAUCAUUAAAUCACUUAAAUCGUCUUCUUAAAAUUCGAAAAAAUUAACUUCAAUUUCGCGAUCGGUAUGCUCUUUUCGCAUGUACAAUACAUUUACAAAUAACUUUUUUAUUACAAUUGUUACCCUGAAAAUAGUGUAUGUGUAAAUAGAACAUACAUUAUUAUAUAAUAAAUAUGUAUGCUCAAGAAGAAAAUGUUGAUUCUUUAGUUCAUCAGGAAAAAAAUAUCUAUCCUUACGCAACAAUUUAUCAAUAAAAGAUAAAAUAUGAAAUAAUUUCGUGUUCAAAAUAUACAUGUACAAUCUUGUAUUUUAAAAGUAUAUUAAACAAACGAAGAAACAUCAUCAAAGUUCACCUUCGAUCACUUUGCUUUGUCGUUUCAUCAAUAAAAGCUUUGUUGCCAGAAGCGUUGAACAAUCAUUGUGAACGUUGUACACCUCGACAAGCUGCACUUGCACACAAAUUGACAAUAUUUAUGCAACGAAAUUAUCCCAAUGAAUGGGAAUCGAUUAUACGCCGUUAUGAAUUGCUCAAGUAUUUUAUGUAGGAUGAAAGGAUAUCAUGGAAAACAAUAUUUGACGCUGCAACAAAUUCUUGAGAGAUUCUAUAACUUUGAACGUACACGUUCUUGCAGAACAAUUCAGAGGGCCGAUAUAUUAAGUAAACUUUAAAAUCUAUAACGCAUCAUAUUACGCAUAUAUCGCUUCUUACAAACGAUCA